This is a long non-coding RNA of Ananas comosus (pineapple), 432 nucleotides long. RefSeq lists it as uncharacterized. The record is from RefSeq and is a predicted model, not a curated record. Lineage: Eukaryota; Viridiplantae; Streptophyta; Magnoliopsida; Poales; Bromeliaceae. The transcript has 2 exons.
CAGAGGCGCGGUCGAGGGCACCGAUCGGGCACUGCCGCGGGCGCGGGGGUGGGCUCUGGCGCUGGCGCGGACGCGAGCCGAGGGCUAGAGGCGCGGGGCGAAGGUGGGCGCUGGCGGUGGCGCUGGCGAGGGACCCAAUCCUCUAUCUCUGGGCCCGGCUCAAACUGCGGCAGCCUUCGGCAAGGUCGGCUCCGCCACGGCGGCGGAGGUGGCAUACUCGAUGGCGCGGGAGAAGAGGAACCCGGCGAAGGAGGGGUAGCGCGGGAUAAUCGGGGAGCAGGGAGUUGCCACAGCUACGGCACGACCGGGCGCUGGCGAUCUGCUGGUAGAGGAGCGGGGCGGAGGCGGGUUCCGGCCAACAUUUUUUUUUUUAUCUUACUUUUUAUUCUUUUCUUUAUAAUCAAAUCUAAUUAUUUUCUCUUAUUAUAAAAA